RNAcentral lists this ribosomal RNA (668 nucleotides) under uncultured bacterium. RNAcentral's name for it is "bacterial SSU rRNA". It matches the Rfam family "Bacterial small subunit ribosomal RNA", at positions 21 to 700 of the family's 1533-position model. The record is from RNAcentral.
GGCUCAGGACGAACGCUGGCGGCGUGCUUAACACAUGCAAGUCGAACGGAAAGGCCCUGCUUUUGUGGGGUGCUCGAGUGGCGAACGGGUGAGUAACACGUGAGUAACCUGCCCUUGACUUUGGGAUAACUUCAGGAAACUGGGGCUAAUACCAGAUAGGAGCUCCUGCUGCAUGGUGGGGGUUGGAAAGUUUCGGCGGUUGGGGAUGGACUCGCGGCUUAUCAGCUUGUUGGUGGGGUAGUGGCUUACCAAGGCUUUGACGGGUAGCCGGCCUGAGAGGGUGACCGGCCACAUUGGGACUGAGAUACGGCCCAGACUCCUACGGGAGGCAGCAGUGGGGAAUAUUGCACAAUGGGCGGAAGCCUGAUGCAGCAACGCCGCGUGCGGGAUGACGGCCUUCGGGUUGUAAACCGCUUUCGCCUGUGACGAAGCGUGAGUGACGGUAAUGGGUAAAGAAGCACCGGCUAACUACGUGCCAGCAGCCGCGGUGAUACGUAGGGUGCGAGCGUUGUCCGGAUUUAUUGGGCGUAAAGGGCUCGUAGGUGGUUGAUCGCGUCGGAAGUGUAAUCUUGGGGCUUAACCCUGAGCGUGCUUUCGAUACGGGUUGACUUGAGGAAGGUAGGGGAGAAUGGAAUUCCUGGUGGAGCGGUGGAAUGCGCAGAUAUCAG